AGUCCAAUAGAAAGGACUCUGCACUCCCAAUGCAGGGGGCCUGGGUUCGAUCCCUG
This 56-nucleotide transfer RNA is filed under the name Ovis aries (sheep). Lineage: Eukaryota; Metazoa; Chordata; Mammalia; Artiodactyla; Bovidae. The record is from Rfam by way of RNAcentral. RNAcentral also lists the same sequence under 1 other name.